This 484-nucleotide ribosomal RNA is filed under the name uncultured organism. RNAcentral describes it as "bacterial SSU rRNA". It matches the Rfam family "Bacterial small subunit ribosomal RNA", at positions 30 to 507 of the family's 1533-position model. The record is from RNAcentral.
AUUGAACGCUGGCGGCAUGCUUUACACAUGCAAGUCGAACGGUAACAGGGACUUCGGUCUGCUGACGAGUGGCGAACGGGUGAGUAAUGCAUCGGAACGUACCGAGUAAUGGGGGAUAACGCAUCGAAAGGUGUGCUAAUACCGCAUACGCCCUGAGGGGGAAAGCGGGGGAUCGAAAGACCUCGCGUUAUUCGAGCGGCCGAUGCCGGAUUAGCUAGUUGGUGGGGUAAAGGCUCACCAAGGCGACGAUCCGUAGCAGGUCUGAGAGGAUGAUCUGCCACACUGGGACUGAGACACGGCCCAGACUCCUACGGGAGGCAGCAGUGGGGAAUUUUGGACAAUGGGGGCAACCCUGAUCCAGCCAUGCCGCGUGUCUGAAGAAGGCCUUCGGGUUGUAAAGGACUUUUGUCAGGGAGGAAAUCCCUAAGGUUAAUACCCUUGGGGGAUGACAGUACCUGAAGAAUAAGCACCGGCUAACUACGUG